GAUGAACGCUGGCGGCGUGCCUAAUACAUGCAAGUCGAGCGAACAGAUGAGGAGCUUGCUCCUCUGACGUUAGCGGCGGACGGGUGAGUAACACGUGGAUAACCUACCUAUAAGACUGGGAUAACUUCGGGAAACCGGAGCUAAUACCGGAUAAUAUAUUGAACCGCAUGGUUCAAUAGUGAAAGACGGUUUUGCUGUCACUUAUAGAUGGAUCCGCGCCGCAUUAGCUAGUUGGUAAGGUAACGGCUUACCAAGGCAACGAUGCGUAGCCGACCUGAGAGGGGGAUCGGCCACACUGGAACUGAGACACGGUCCAGACUCCUACGGGAGGCAGCAGUAGGGAAUCUUCCGCAAUGGGCGAAAGCCUGACGGAGCAACGCCGCGUGAGUGAUGAAGGUCUGCGGAUCGUAAAACUCUGUUAUUAGGGAAGAACAAAUGUGUAAGUAACUAUGCACGUCUUGACGGUACCGAAGCAGAAAGCCACGGCUAACUACGU
This 496-nucleotide ribosomal RNA is filed under the name uncultured bacterium. RNAcentral's name for it is "partial 16S ribosomal RNA". It matches the Rfam family "Bacterial small subunit ribosomal RNA", at positions 28 to 506 of the family's 1533-position model. The record is from RNAcentral.